GAUGAACGCUGGCGGCGUGCCUAAUACAUGCAAGUCGAGCGAACAGACGAGGAGCUUGCUCCUCUGACGUUAGCGGCGGACGGGUGAGUAACACGUGGAUAACCUACCUAUAAGACUGGGAUAACUUCGGGAAACCGGAGCUAAUACCGGAUAAUAUAUUGAACCGCAUGGUUCAAUAGUGAAAGACGGUUUUGCUGUCACUUAUAGAUGGAUCCGCGCCGCAUUAGCUAGUUGGUAAGGUAACGGCUUACCAAGGCAACGAUGCGUAGCCGACCUGAGAGGGUGAUCGGCCACACUGGAACUGAGACACGGUCCAGACUACUACGGGAGGCAGCAGUAGGGAAUCUUCCGCAGUGGGCGAAAGCCUGACGGAGCAACGCCGCGUGAGUGAUGAAGGUCUUCGGAUCGUAAAACUCUGUUAUUAGGGAAGAACAAAUGUGUAAGUAACUAUGCACGUCUUGACGGUACCUAAUCAGAAAGCCACGGCUAACUACGUG
RNAcentral lists this ribosomal RNA (497 nucleotides) under uncultured bacterium. RNAcentral describes it as "partial 16S ribosomal RNA". It matches the Rfam family "Bacterial small subunit ribosomal RNA", at positions 28 to 507 of the family's 1533-position model. The record is from RNAcentral.